Molecule: RNA transcript, 2298 nt
Organism: Triticum aestivum (bread wheat)
Lineage: Eukaryota; Viridiplantae; Streptophyta; Magnoliopsida; Poales; Poaceae
Exons: 6
Source: RefSeq, a predicted model, not a curated record
UUCAAGCCGCAGCCCUCAAAACAUACAUCACGCCACGAUCCCCUUCCUGUUCCCCACGCACGGGCGGUUGCCGCCGGCGUCGCCGCCGCCGCCUUCCUCGCUGAGUCCGCGGCCGAAAUCCACGCCGGGAGAAGAGGUAUCUAUCCCUCCGACGCCUUCCUCUCCCUCAAGCCUCGACCUCGCCGGCAUCCCUCCUCCCGUUCCAAGUCCAGGAGACGCAUGGGGACGGCGGCGGUGGCGAGGCGUCUCGCGCGCACGGACACCCCACCCUACGCCUGCUCGUGCGCGCUGCCCUGCGAGGUUUAGGCAUCGCGCCUGCUGCGCUCCCCUGUGGCGAUGAUGUGGCUUACUGCUGCCAUACGGCGCCUCAUCGAGGAGUAGAGCAGCUGCCCCAUGCUAGACAAGAUCCUCCAGAUCCUCUCCACCCAGCCGCCAUCAUUGCAGGAGGACUUUAACGAGUGGUCACCAAGAAGCUUCCCCAAAUCCUACAAGAGGCUCAGUUUAAUUGUGUGAUUGCUGAGUGGUCCAGUGAGUAGUGCUUCUAUAAGCAAGGGAAUGAUAGAAUGAUGCACGAUUCUGCAGGUUAGACGAGCCGCUGACAAAGACACACCUCUAUUCUGAAUUUUUACAUGCGAAGAUGGACCAUCAGCUACGGAAUAUGUUGGCUAACCUCUCGCAGGUUGCUAACAAUUUUUUUCUUAUUGUCAUCUUGGUAAUUGACAUUGGUGGUAUUGUCUUUUAGUUCAACAGAAAGUUGUUCAAGUGAAAAUUCAGAGGAACAUGUGGAACAAAAGACAUGGUAUAAAAAGGAAAGGAAAGACUAAACAGUACAAUGAUGCAGGUUUGGAGCCGACCAAGGAAGUCACAGUUUAAGAGCUCGAGGAGGGGUGUGUGGAGGUUGCCGGCGCCAGUGGCUGCACUGCUGGUCUUCAUCGCCUGUUUCGGUCAGAUCCAGUCGGACCUAUCCUAUGGGUUCUCCACCGCUUCACUCUGCUUCAUGUGCAUCUGGGCGGAGAAGAUGACCCGACCUGCCUGGUCGCUCAACACUGCCUCCCUGCCCCUGUUGUUCGCCAGCCACACUCUCCCUUACGCGCAGAAUGUCCAUCAUCACAGAAUCUUAGCUGAUAGACGGUGCGCUUUUUGGCGGAAGCUGAGACAAAGAUUUCUAUUCACCAAAAAGAUAGAGCCGCCAUCAGCAAGCACUGACGAGUAGCACAGUCUCAGCCGAUGCAUCGACGAGCUGAGGCGGGCUUCCAAUAGAGAUCAGAAACAGGGAAUGGCCUUUUGAGCUGGUAGAGGGAUCACUAGACGUGGUGUUCAUGUUUGUGUUGGCUUACAUGCAGAAAUAAGGAGGAUAGUAAGACUCUUGGAGGUCAUGUCUCUGCCAUUCAAGGAUUUCGAUAUCUGAAUGUUAUGACAAUAUAUAGAUAAGGGAGAUAGCCCUCCGCGUCCUGGUGGUUACUGUAUGCUGCAGCGAAGGGCACACUUCAAUUAUUGUGCAGGCAGAUGCGGUGAUCCCGGGUGUGCUUUGAAUAGAUAUCAAGGACGUCAUUACCCGAGCCGUUCCUAUGAUUGAACAUGCGACCAAGGAAUGAAAACUCUUCUCCAGAGAUCUUCAAAAUAGUACAAUAUCAGAUACACAUGCCUGAAUCUGGAUACACUCCACUGCUGAUGGUAAUACUUUCCAGUCACUCACAAACAAUAAGCUUCAGCAUACAAGGCAGAGUCCAAUGCUAUUGGAUUGGGGUGCUGGUAUGCAAUUUCUUGUACAUUUUACUUCUAUAGGACUUCCAAUUACUGGCUACAAACUUUGUACAGGGCAGUCUGAGCUACCACUUGGUGAAGAUGGGAUUCAAUAUGUUCAGUGAUACCCUUUUUUAUGUGUAGGGAAUCACUGAUAUGAUACAACUAUUUGUUAUCUGAAUUUUCGAAUAUAUGUACACCCAUGGUGACGUUUCAAUGCUCAUUUAUAAAGCAUCCAUCUAUGAAUGAAUUUCUGAAUAUUACCACAUGCAAUGUGUAUGUAUGAUGAUAGUAGUACACUUGCGAUGAUGCAAAACACUUAUGAUGAUGUUAUUCAAGUAUUGUACUACAGUUGCAUUCAAGUCAUUUUUUCCGUUGCAACGCACAAGCAUUUGUACAUAUAUAAAUAUAUACAUAUACAACACCCUUAUAAUGUAUACUAAUUAGUCUUUGGUCAAAUAAACUACUUAGCAACUCAGCUUUGCACUUCGCUUUGCCAGCAUUGCCGCCAACACCAAACACAACCAGCCAUCAGAACGUCUCCUCCGCGACCCU